AGUGAACGCUGGCGGCAGGCCUAACACAUGCAAGUCGAGCGGCAGCGCGGGGGCAACCCUGGCGGCGAGCGGCGGACGGGUGAGGAAUUCGUCGGAAGCUGCCUUUUUGUGGGGGAUGACGUAAGGAAACUAACGCUAAUACCGCAUACGUCCUACGGGAGAAAGUGGGGGACCGCAAGGGCUCACGCAGACAGCUGAGCCGACGACCGAUUAGCUAGUUGGUGAGGUAACGGCCCACCAAGGCGACGAUCGGUAGCUGGUCUGAGAGGCUGAUCGGCCACACUGGGACUGAGACACGGCCCAGACUCCUACGGGAGGCAGCAGUGGGGAAUAUUGGACAAUGGGCGAAAGCCUGAUCCAGCCAUGCCGCGUGUGUGAAGAAGGCCUUCGGGUUGUAAAACACUUUUGUCCGGAAAGAAAAACCUGGAACUAAUCCCUUCGCGGGAUGACGGUACCGGAAGAAUAAGCACCGGCUAACUUCGUG
Molecule: ribosomal RNA, 484 nt
Filed under: uncultured bacterium
Lineage: Bacteria
Description: partial 16S ribosomal RNA
Rfam family: Bacterial small subunit ribosomal RNA
Source: RNAcentral